UGGAUCCAGACUUUGAUCAUGGCUCAGGAUGAACGCUAGCUACAGGCUUAACACAUGCAAGUCGAGGGGCAGCGGGAUUGAAGCUUGCUUCAAUUGCCGGCGACCGGCGCACGGGUGAGUAACGCGUAUCCAACCUUCCGUACACUCAGGGAUAGCCUUUCGAAAGAAAGAUUAAUACCUGAUGGUAUGAUGAGAUUGCAUGAUAACAUCAUUAAAGAUUUAUCGGUGUACGAUGGGGAUGCGUUCCAUUAGGUAGUAGGCGGGGUAACGGCCCACCUAGCCAACGAUGGAUAGGGGUUCUGAGAGGAAGGUCCCCCACAUUGGAACUGAGACACGGUCCAAACUCCUACGGGAGGCAGCAGUGAGGAAUAUUGGUCAAUGGACGAGAGUCUGAACCAGCCAAGUAGCGUGAAGGAUGAAGGUCCUACGGAUUGUAAACUUCUUUUAUAAGGGAAUAAACCCUCCCACGUGUGGGAGCUUGUAUGUACCUUAUGAAUAAGCAUCGGCUAACUCCGUGCCAGCAGCCGCGGUAAUACGGAGGAUGCGAGCGUUAUCCGGAUUUAUUGGGUUUAAAGGGAGCGCAGACGGGUCGUUAAGUCAGCUGUGAAAGUUUGGGGCUCAACCUUAAAAUUGCAGUUGAUACUGGCGUCCUUGAGUGCGGUUGAGGUGUGCGGAAUUCGUGGUGUAGCGGUGAAAUGCUUAGAUAUCACGAAGAACUCCGAUUGCGAAGGCAGCACACUAAUCCGUAACUGACGUUCAUGCUCGAAAGUGUGGGUAUCAAACAGGAUUAGAUACCCUGGUAGUCCACACGGUAAACGAUGGAUACUCGCUGUUGGCGAUAUACUGUCAGCAGCUUAGCGAAAGCGUUAAGUAUCCCACCUGGGGAGUACGCCGGCAACGGUGCAACUCAAAUGAAUUGACGGA
Molecule: ribosomal RNA, 924 nt
Filed under: uncultured Bacteroidota bacterium
Lineage: Bacteria; Pseudomonadati; Bacteroidota
Description: bacterial SSU rRNA
Rfam family: Bacterial small subunit ribosomal RNA
Source: RNAcentral